RNAcentral lists this ribosomal RNA (253 nucleotides) under uncultured bacterium. Its description in RNAcentral is "partial 16S ribosomal RNA". It matches the Rfam family "Bacterial small subunit ribosomal RNA", at positions 524 to 776 of the family's 1533-position model. The record is from RNAcentral.
UAAAGAGGGUGCGAGCGUUAAUCGGAAUUACUGGGCGUAAAGCGCACGUAGGUGGCGACGUAAGUCGGGUGUGAAAGCCCCGGGCUCAACCUGGGAAUUGCAUUCGAGACUGCAUUGCUGGAGUACGGAAGAGGAGGGCGGAAUUCCCGGUGUAGCGGUGAAAUGCGUAGAUAUCGGGAGGAACAUCAGUGGCGAAGGCGGGCCUCUGGGCCAGUACUGACACUCAAGUGCGAAAGCGUGGGGAGCAAACAGG